UGGGGAAUUUUGGACAAUGGGCGAAAGCCUGAUCCAGCAAUGCCGCGUGUGUGAAGAAGGCCUUCGGGUUGUAAAGCACUUUUGUCCGGAAAGAAAUCCUUGGCUCUAAUACAGUCGGGGGAUGACGGUACCGGAAGAAUAAGCACCGGCUAACUACGUGCCAGCAGCCGCGGUAAUACGUAGGGUGCAAGCGUUAAUCGGAAUUACUGGGCGUAAAGCGUGCGCAGGCGGUUUGCUAAGACCGAUGUGAAAUCCCCGGGCUCAACCUGGGAACUGCAUUGGUGACUGGCAGGCUAGAGUAUGGCAGAGGGGGGUAGAAUUCCACGUGUAGCAGUGAAAUGCGUAGAGAUGUGGAGGAAUACCGAUGGCGAAGGCAGCCCCCUGGGCCAAUACUGACGCUCAUGCACGAAAGCGUGGGGAGCAAACAGGAUUAGAUACCCUGGUAGUCCACGCCCUAAACGAUGUCAACUAGUUGUCGGGGAUUCAUUUCCUUAGUAACGUAGCUAACGCGUGAAGUUGACCGCCUGGGGAGUACGGUCGCAAGAUUAAAACUCAAAGGAAUUGACGGGGUCAUAGCUGUUUCCU
Molecule: ribosomal RNA, 585 nt
Filed under: uncultured bacterium
Lineage: Bacteria
Description: partial 16S ribosomal RNA
Rfam family: Bacterial small subunit ribosomal RNA
Source: RNAcentral